This 697-nucleotide ribosomal RNA is filed under the name Stenotrophomonas maltophilia. RNAcentral's name for it is "bacterial SSU rRNA". It matches the Rfam family "Bacterial small subunit ribosomal RNA", at positions 8 to 694 of the family's 1533-position model. The record is from RNAcentral. Lineage: Bacteria; Pseudomonadati; Pseudomonadota; Gammaproteobacteria; Lysobacterales; Lysobacteraceae.
AGAGUUUGAUCCUGGCUCAGAGUGAACGCUGGCGGUAGGCCUAACACAUGCAAGUCGAACGGCAGCACAGGAGAGCUUGCUCUCAGGGUGGCGAGUGGCGGACGGGUGAGGAAUACAUCGGAAUCUACUCUGUCGUGGGGGAUAACGUAGGGAAACUUACGCUAAUACCGCAUACGACCUACGGGUGAAAGCAGGGGACCUUCGGGCCUUGCGCGAUUGAAUGAGCCGAUGUCGGAUUAGCUAGUUGGCGGGGUAAAGGCCCACCAAGGCGACGAUCCGUAGCUGGUCUGAGAGGAUGAUCAGCCACACUGGAACUGAGACACGGUCCAGACUCCUACGGGAGGCAGCAGUGGGGAAUAUUGGACAAUGGGCGCAAGCCUGAUCCAGCCAUACCGCGUGGGUGAGGAAGGCCUUCGGGUUGUAAAGCCCUUUUGUUGGGAAAGAAAUCCAGCUGGCUAAUACCCGGUUGGGAUGACGGUACCCAAAGAAUAAGCACCGGCUAACUUCGUGCCAGCAGCCGCGGUAAUACGAAGGGUGCAAGCGUUACUCGGAAUUACUGGGCGUAAAGCGUGCGUAGGUGGUCGUUUAAGUCCGUUGUGAAAGCCCUGGGCUCAACCUGUGAACUGCAGUGGAUACUGGGCGACUAGAAUGUGGUAGAGGGUAGCGGAAUUCCUGGUGUAGCAGUGAAAUGCGUAUA